Molecule: long non-coding RNA, 2577 nt
Filed under: Bemisia tabaci
Lineage: Eukaryota; Metazoa; Arthropoda; Insecta; Hemiptera; Aleyrodidae
Description: lncRNA ENSASIAIIG003491
Source: RNAcentral
CCGAUACGUGUCCUGAAGGGAGGAAGAGGAACAGAGACAAAAGUACAGAAACGUAAGGAGAGCACCUGGUUUAAUGACACCUUGUUAACCGCACCAUUGUAAUGGUAAUAAACACGUACGACCAAUACGAGAGUGUUGACUCUCUGACGCUAAGGAGGGGUUGCUCCAAGGGAGUGUCUGCCCCCCAUUUAAGUCUACAGCCAUGAUUCCUUAUCCAUUUUGUGCGUUUGAGGUUUGCCGGUGUCACAUGUCACCGUGUGAGGGUUACGUCCAGUGAUAGUGUCCGUGGCUUUUGGUGUUUCCACUUUUCCUUUCCGCGCGUUCAAGUCUUUUCCAGUGUUUCUUAAAAGAGGUAUCCAGCAAAAAAGUGAUACAUUUUUUCGUGCGGAUCAAACAUGUUUGAUAAGCUCGCGUUGGAAAUCCUCGCAUCUGUGGUGAUCGCGACGCUUAUACGGAGCGGAACUUGUGACGUGCCGUCAGACUGGCAAAGUGGUGUGGGGAGCAUAGCUCCCAGGAGCCUCGAUCCGAGGAGUGAUGCUGAAAGUAUAUCCCCCAGGGGCCCCGAGAUGGGGGUUAACGCGGGCAGUAUAGACCUCAAGGGCUCGGAAUCCGCAAAAGAGCGCACAGCGCGGGACUGGUCAACGACCGGUUCGACCGCAGGGAGUUACUACCCUCCAUCGAACGGCUACGUCGGAGGUCCUAGCUACGUGGACAGCUAUGGAGUGCCCCAUUCGGAUUAUCAGUACCCCAACGCCGGAGCCAGCAGCUACUCUUCUGAAGAGGCCAAACCCAAGCAAAGGCCAAUCGUCCCGCCCAUUUUCCCGCCUGUAUAUCAGGGAAUGCCGAUGACUCCAGUUGAGUGUCAAAUGGCGGGAUAUUCGAACGUCUUUGGAGACCUUUUCCGUUUCGGAGGGCUCAUCAAAGUGGGUCUCAUAAAAGCAGGUCUCACGGCCCUUGCGGCUGGCCUAUUGACCAAACUCCCUCUGCUCCUCUUCAUCAAGACCCUUAUCGUUAAACUUAUCAUUUUCCCAAUCGGCUUCUUAGUUUUCUCCCUCCCUGUUCUCUUACCUCUUCUUCUUUUCUUCCUCCCCAACCUGAUGAAGGACAAGCAGCCAAUCAUGAUGAUGAUGACACCUGAAAACGCCAAUAAUAGUACCAACGGUGGGAACAAAAAACCAGGCACGCGGGACUUCCUGUACAGAGUGUCCGAUAAAAUUGGCGAAAAGGGCUAUGAGGACGAAUACGAAGAGGAAUCUAGAAAAUCAAGGGACGCUGAUACCUAUCUAGACUCAAUUCUGAGCACAAUUUUUGACUCGCAACUGUGUCUGCAACGCAUUGCAUGUCAGCUUGGAGUCAGGGACGCGGAUUCCAAAUACAGGAAGUCAGUUUCGUGGGCGCUGAAGUAUCUGCAGACAUUCAAAAUGGCUGAAAGCAGCCCCGAAAUUCAAGCAAGACUGAAAUCUUACAGGAAUGCCUACAACCUGGGUGCUGAGCAAAAUUCUACCGAAUUUUGCUCUUCAGACGAGCGAUUCCCAUGUGAAACGCCACAUAUCGUCCUCAGACAAGCAAAGAGAUCGAUCACCUUAAUUUAAUCAAUUCACUUUGGAAACUGGAACCUUGGGAAUAAAUUUUACUCAAAGCAGUUGAACGGAUAAUCGCACAGUUACUUAUCACAAGACUGCAGAUCGUGUUGGAGAUCUCUAUGCUUACACCUUUAUAUUCAUAUUCACAUGACAUAGGUAAUAUGUAUCACCUGAACUUCUUAAAAUUUUAAUUCAGUCUCCAUGCAAAUCUUAGGUGGAGUUUUUUUUUUAUUGUUAUUAUUUCCACAAAAGUGAAUACACUAAAGAAAAAUUGACACUGUUUUUAAUAGAACAAUCGAAAUUUUUUUAAAAAACAGUUAAAGCUGUGUUAAAACUUUUAAAUUUUCUUUUGAAAAACUCACACUUUCACUUGAAACUGUUUUUUCUAAAUUCCAAAAAACAAUAAAAACACUUGCUUUCAUUUCUCAAGCUUUUAAUAACCAUCCUAAAAUAGUAGAAUGAUUUCAAUAAAGAUGAUGAAAUAAAAACGUGUAAUUUUGACUGAAUAUAGUUACUUCGUAAUUUCAAAAUACUUUUGAGUCAAGAAACCUCAUUUAAGAGUUAAAAUAAUAUUGAGCACUAGUACAAGAUGUGCAGUGGUUGCUGCUUCAAAUUAUGGAAAUAUAUCGCAUAAGCACCAUAUUUUGCUGUGAGAUUCCUAUUAACAUCCUCUAAAAUAACCGUGAAACUAUUUUCUUUGUCAUUUGUGAUUACAUCAUGGAUUGUAUGAAAAAUAGUUUGCUACUAUCGGUUCACGCAUAGCCUGAUCGAUCAGUGCUGCUUAACUUUAGCAGCUACACCCUCACAAAAUAACGCUCUGUUUCCAUACAUGAGCAUAGAAAAGGACACCAGUUUAGCAGUCAAUUGGUAAUGCACCGCAACUUUCUCACUUUGUAAAUAUCUUUGUAUCAUUAAUUUAUUUGUACAUAAGUUGAAUAAUCAAAUCUGUAACUUAUCAUGUGCCAUUAUUUAAACAAAUAAAUGCAAAACUAGA